GACGAACGCUGGCGGCGUGCUUAACACAUGCAAGUCGAACGGAAAGGCCCUGCUUUUGUGGGGUGCUCGAGUGGCGAACGGGUGAGUAACACGUGAGUAACCUGCCCUUGACUUUGGGAUAACUUCAGGCAACUGGGGCUAAUACCGGAUAGGAGCUCCUGCUGCAUGGUGGGGGUUGGACAGUUUCGGCGGUUGGGGAUGGACUCGCGGCUUAUUAGCUUGUUGGUUGGGUAGUGGCUUACCAAGGCUUUGACGGGUAGCCGGCCUGAGAGGGUGACCGGCGACAUGGGGACUGAGAUAGGGACCAGACUCCUACGGGAGGCAGCAGGGGGGAAUAUUGCACAAUGGGCGGAAGCCUGAGGCAGAAACGCCGCGUGCGGGAUGAAGGCCUUCGGGUGGUAAACCGCUUUCGCCUGUGACGAAGCGUGAGUGACGGUAAUGGGUAAAGAAGCACCGGCUAACUACGUG
This 468-nucleotide ribosomal RNA is filed under the name uncultured bacterium. RNAcentral's name for it is "partial 16S ribosomal RNA". It matches the Rfam family "Bacterial small subunit ribosomal RNA", at positions 28 to 507 of the family's 1533-position model. The record is from RNAcentral.